GUAAGCCGGAUAAGCUAACUUUCGAGGUUCCUUCGGAUUAAAUUCCAAAGAAGUAAAAAUUAUGACUUCUGGAUCCUUGAGGAAGGUCCGCCCACCAAAGACGAUAUUUGAGCCAUUCUUCGAAAGAAGAAUUGCCGCGAGGCAAAGCUCUGCUACAGAAACGACACAGCUUGUUUAGAGUGAUGAACGAUGCCGUGAACUUUGAAAAACAAGAUAUGAUGAAACGAGCAACUUGGCUGGUGCAAGGGAAUAAAUUCCCGCUUAGUCAAAUGUUAGCAUGUUCUGUUUGCGAAAGCAAAGAACAACAGAAGGUGGCCUAUUCCGGCUUAU
RNAcentral lists this RNase P RNA (330 nucleotides) under archaeon. RNAcentral describes it as "RNase P RNA component". It matches the Rfam family "Archaeal RNase P". From Rfam's summary of the family: Ribonuclease P (RNase P) is a ubiquitous endoribonuclease, found in archaea, bacteria and eukarya as well as chloroplasts and mitochondria. Its best characterised activity is the generation of mature 5'-ends of tRNAs by cleaving the 5'-leader elements of precursor-tRNAs. The record is from RNAcentral.